RNAcentral lists this transfer RNA (72 nucleotides) under Ovis aries (sheep). It matches the Rfam family "tRNA". Rfam says of the family: Transfer RNA (tRNA) molecules are approximately 80 nucleotides in length. Their secondary structure includes four short double-helical elements and three loops (D, anti-codon, and T loops). Further hydrogen bonds mediate the characteristic L-shaped molecular structure. tRNAs have two regions of fundamental functional importance: the anti-codon, which is responsible for specific mRNA codon recognition, and the 3' end, to which the tRNAs corresponding amino acid is attached (by aminoacyl-tRNA synthetases). tRNAs cope with the degeneracy of the genetic code in two manners: having more than one tRNA (with a specific anti-codon) for a particular amino acid; and 'wobble' base-pairing, i.e. permitting non-standard base-pairing at the 3rd anti-codon position. Lineage: Eukaryota; Metazoa; Chordata; Mammalia; Artiodactyla; Bovidae. The record is from Rfam by way of RNAcentral.
UCCCUGGUGGCUCAGAUGGUAAAGCAUCUGCCUGCAACACAGAAGACCUGGGUUUGAUCCCUGGGUCGGGAA